RNAcentral lists this long non-coding RNA (288 nucleotides) under Elaeis guineensis (African oil palm). RNAcentral's name for it is "long non-coding RNA (EGUI_LNC020614)". Lineage: Eukaryota; Viridiplantae; Streptophyta; Magnoliopsida; Arecales; Arecaceae. The record is from RNAcentral.
UUUUAUAUGUCUUUUAAUGUCUCGAGUAUUUUGCUUCGUGAUGUAAUAUAAUGUCAAAUGUUAUAUUAUUUGUAAGGCAACUUUUUGUAAACCAUACCAGUUUAUAAUGAAUAUUAUCUACAAAUGAACAUUUAUUUUAGUUUAUCCUAUUCUCUUUGUACUUAUUCUUUUUGAUGUUGACAAAAAGGGGAAGAAAAUUGAGUAAUUGAUUGAGCAUAUUAAUUGAAUUAUUUGAUAAGUGCUUAUUUGAUUAACAAUUUCAAAUGACAUCUGAAUAUAUUGGAAGGU